Long non-coding RNA from Felis catus (domestic cat), 602 nucleotides. RefSeq lists it as uncharacterized. The transcript is spliced from 3 exons. The record is from RefSeq and is a predicted model, not a curated record. Lineage: Eukaryota; Metazoa; Chordata; Mammalia; Carnivora; Felidae.
GUAGGGGUGGGGUUAGCGGCUCGCUCGGGCCUGGCGGUUGGGGAGGCGGUUUAGAACACAUGCGGAAGCUCCUAAGCCGGUAUUUGAAACGGAAACUCGUCGGUUAAAAUAGAAAUACCGGUACCUGGAAACCUGGAACUUGUCUUUUCGAAGCCACCUUUCCCGUCAUCACCUCUGCCUCUCCGGGUUCCCAUAAUCGUCCUUAUGGACCGCCGGUCGUGUGGUUGCCUGCAGAACGCCUCCUGGACCCCCGGCUGGUUGAACUCCCAAUACCUUGUCAGGCCUCUUAGAGGGACUGUCCAGUGCAGUACUGUGAAAAGAACCAUCACAGUGGAGACGCCCAUUGCGGCACACACAUAGGCACCUCCGGCGCGCAGUUUUUCUGGUUAGCGCCAAUUACGAGGUCACGACACACAUCUCCAGCUAAUUUAUGCACAGCUCCAAUUCUGUGCAUGGAGGAUGCAAAAGGGCAAACUAUCCAUGGUAGGACUUUCUGGAGCAUCAAUUCUACAAGAUGUGGAAGAAAUGAAGUCAUUUCCAAGGCAAAAGAGGAGAAACACUACUUGGGGAGCGCUGUUAUGUGCCAGGACUAUGAUCAUCAA